This 350-nucleotide transfer-messenger RNA is filed under the name Clostridiales bacterium. It matches the Rfam family "transfer-messenger RNA". Rfam says of the family: Bacterial tmRNA, also known as 10Sa RNA or SsrA, is named for its dual tRNA and mRNA-like properties. Its role is to liberate the mRNA from a stalled ribosome. RNAcentral also lists the same sequence under 1 other name. Lineage: Bacteria; Bacillati; Bacillota; Clostridia; Eubacteriales. The record is from RNAcentral.
GGGGAUGAAAGGAUUUCGACGGGGGUUUUGAGCCACGACAAGCGAGCAGCGGUGCGGGACCGCUAUAAAAUCCGCAGUUUAUAACAAUAAACGACAACAACACAGUUUUACAAGCGGCUUAACUAAGCCGUCGUCUUUACCGGAAGCACUGCGGUCCGGAUAAAGGCGUCGAUCAGCAGUGAACGUGAGCGGACGACCGCCUGAUAAUCCGCCAUGAACAAUCGGGCUACCGAAGAAGCAAGCCUGCCUGUCGGCGUGCUUUCGGGGGAAUCUUAAAUAAUAGGCUACGCUCGUAGAAAAUCGUGAGGAUGGACUUUCGGACGCGGUUUCGAUUACCGCCAUCUCCACCA